UGGGGAAUAUUGCACAAUGGGCGCAAGCCUGAUGCAGCGACGCCGCGUGAGGGAUGACGGCCUUCGGGUUGUAAACCUCUUUCGCCAGGGACGAAGCGCAAGUGACGGUACCUGGAGAAGAAGGACCGGCCAACUACGUGCCAGCAGCCGCGGUAAUACGUAGGGUCCGAGCGUUGUCCGGAAUUACUGGGCGUAAAGAGCUCGUAGGUGGUUUGUCGCGUUGUCCGUGAAAACUCACAGCUCAACUGUGGGCGUGCGGGCGAUACGGGCAGACUGGAGUACUGCAGGGGAGACUGGAAUUCCUGGUGUAGCGGUGGAAUGCGCAGAUAUCAGGAGGAACACCGGUGGCGAAGGCGGGUCUCUGGGCAGUAACUGACGCUGAGGAGCGAAAGCGUGGGGAGCGAACAG
RNAcentral lists this ribosomal RNA (408 nucleotides) under uncultured bacterium. Its description in RNAcentral is "bacterial SSU rRNA". It matches the Rfam family "Bacterial small subunit ribosomal RNA", at positions 355 to 775 of the family's 1533-position model. The record is from RNAcentral.